UGAACCUAGCGGCGAAUGGGUGAGUAACACGUGCUUAAUCUACCCUUUAGAUUGGAAUACCCAAUGGAAACAUUGGCUAAUGCCGGAUACGCAUGGAAUCGCAUGAUUCCGUUGUGAAAGGAGCCUUUAAAGCUCCGCUAGAGGAUGAGGGUGCGGAACAUUAGUUAGUUGGUAGGGUAAUGGCCUACCAAGACUAUGAUGUUUAGCCGGGUCGAGAGACUGAACGGCCACAUUGGGACUGAGAUACGGCCCAAACUCCUACGGGAGGCAGCAGUAGGGAAUAUUCCACAAUGAGCGAAAGCUUGAUGGAGCGACACAGCGUGCACGAUGAAGGUCUUCGGAUUGUAAAGUGCUGUUAUAGGGAAAGAACACCUGGUUGAGGAAAUGCUUCCAGGCUGACGGUACCCUGUCAGAAAGCGAUGGCUAACUAUGUGCCAGCAGCCGCGGUAAUACAUAGGUCGCAAGCGUUAUCCGGAAUUAUUGGGCGUAAAGCGUUCGUAGGCUGUUUAUUAAGUCUGGAGUCAAAUCCCAGGGCUCAACCCUGGCUCGCUUUGGAUACUGGUAAACUAGAGUUAGAUAGAGGUAAGCGGAAUUCCAUGUGAAGCGGUGAAAUGCGUAGAUAUAUGGAAGAACACCAAAGGCGAAGGCAGCUUACUGGGUCUAUACUGACGCUGAGGGACGAAAGCGUGGGGAGCAAACAGGAUUAGAUACCCUGGUAGUCCACGCCGUAAACGAUGAUCAUUAGUCGGUGGAGAGUUCACUGACGCAGCUAACGCAUUAAAUGAUCCGCCUGAGUAGUAUGCUCGCAAGAGUGAAACUUAAAGGAAUUGACGGGG
Molecule: ribosomal RNA, 836 nt
Filed under: Mycoplasmopsis arginini
Lineage: Bacteria; Bacillati; Mycoplasmatota; Mycoplasmoidales; Metamycoplasmataceae
Description: bacterial SSU rRNA
Rfam family: Bacterial small subunit ribosomal RNA
Source: RNAcentral